UGAUUGAGUCCCCUUCAAACCUGUGUCCAACCUUUAUCCCAAAACAGGAUGUUGUGCAGAGGCCAUGAAAACACUGAUCCAAAUAAAAAGCUUACAGCACCUAGUAUUCCCAUUCAGUCUCCCAACCGAGUACUAACCAGGCCCAACUCUGCUUUGCUUCCGAGGUCAGAUGAGAUCAGGCUUUUUCAGAGUGGUAUGGCCGUAAGCGAAAGCUGACCCCAAAUGGGGCCUAUUUUAAAUAGUGUAAUCAAAAGACUGACUGACUGAUUGAUUGAUUGAUUGGGUCCCCUUCAAACCUGUGUCCAACCUUUAUCCCAAAACAGGAUGUUGUGCAGAGGCCAUGAAAACACUGAUCCAAAUAAAAAGCUUACAGCACCUAGUAUUCCCAUUCAGUCUCAUAACCAAGUACUAACCAGGCCCAACUCUGCUUUGCUUCCGAGGUCAGAUGAGAUCAGGCUUUGUCAGAGUGGUAUGGCCGUAAGCGAAAGCUGACCCCAAAUGGGGCCUAUUUAAAUAGUGUAAUCAAAAGACUGACUGAGUGACUGACUGAUUGAUUGAUUGGGUCCCCUUCAAACCUGUGUCCAACCUUUAUCCCAAAACAGGAUGUUGUGCAGAGGCCAUGAAAACACUGAUCCAAAUAAAAAGCUUACAGCACCUAGUAUUCCCAUUCAGUCUCCCAACCAAGUACUAACCAGGCCCAACUCUGCUUUGCUUCCGAGGUCAGAUGAGAUCAGGCUUUUUCAGAGUGGUAUGGCCGUAAGCGAAAGCUGACCCCAAAUGGGGGCUAUUUAAAAUAUGUAAUCAAAAGACUGACUGACUGACUGACUGACUGACUGAUUGAUUGAUUGAUUGGGUCCCCUCAAACCUGUGUCCAACCUUUAUCCCAAAACAGGAUGUUGUGCAGAGGCCAUGAAAACACUGAUCCAAAUAAAAAGCUUACAGCACCUAGUAUUUUGGUCAGUCUCCCAACCAAGUACUAACCAGGCCCAACUCUGCUUUGCUUCCGAG
Molecule: long non-coding RNA, 1008 nt
Organism: Ictalurus punctatus (channel catfish)
Lineage: Eukaryota; Metazoa; Chordata; Actinopteri; Siluriformes; Ictaluridae
Source: Ensembl